This 649-nucleotide ribosomal RNA is filed under the name uncultured Oxalobacteraceae bacterium. RNAcentral's name for it is "bacterial SSU rRNA". It matches the Rfam family "Bacterial small subunit ribosomal RNA", at positions 134 to 778 of the family's 1533-position model. Lineage: Bacteria; Pseudomonadati; Pseudomonadota; Betaproteobacteria; Burkholderiales; Oxalobacteraceae. The record is from RNAcentral.
AUGUGGGGGAUAACGUACCGAAAGUUACGCUAAUACCGCAUACGAUCUACGGAUGAAAGUGGGGGACCUUCGGGCCUCAUGCUUUUGGAGCGGCCGAUGUCUGAUUAGCUAGUUGGUGAGGUAAAGGCUCACCAAGGCGACGAUCAGUAGCUGGUCUGAGAGGACGACCAGCCACACUGGGACUGAGACACGGCCCAGACUCCUACGGGAGGCAGCAGUGGGGAAUUUUGGACAAUGGGCGCAAGCCUGAUCCAGCAAUGCCGCGUGAGUGAAGAAGGCCUUCGGGUUGUAAAGCUCUUUUGUCAGGGAAGAAACGGGAUUGGAUAAUACCUAGUCCUAAUGACGGUACCUGAAGAAUAAGCACCGGCUAACUACGUGCCAGCAGCCGCGGUAAUACGUAGGGUGCAAGCGUUAAUCGGAAUUACUGGGCGUAAAGCGUGCGCAGGCGGUUUUGUAAGUCUGACGUGAAAGCCCCGGGCUCAACCUGGGAAUUGCGUUGGAGACUGCAAGGCUUGAAUCUGGCAGAGGGGGGUAGAAUUCCACGUGUAGCAGUGAAAUGCGUAGAGAUGCGGAGGAACACCGAUGGCGAAGGCAGCCCCCUGGGUCAAGAUUGACGCUCAUGCACGAAAGCGUGGGGAGCAAACAGGAU